GACAGAGGGUGCAAACGUUGUUCGGAUUUACUGGGCGUAAAGCGCGUGUAGGCGGCUUUGCAAGUCGGAUGUGAAAGCCCACGGCUCAACCGUGGAAGUGCAUCCGAAACUGCAUGGCUUGAGUCUCGGAGAGGAAGGUGGAAUGCUUGGUGUAGAGGUGAAAUUCGUAGAUAUUAGGAAGAACACCAGUGGCGAAGGCGGCUCACUGGUCCGGUACUGACGCUGAGGUGCGAAAGCGUGGGGAGCAAACAGG
Molecule: ribosomal RNA, 253 nt
Filed under: uncultured bacterium
Lineage: Bacteria
Description: partial 16S ribosomal RNA
Rfam family: Bacterial small subunit ribosomal RNA
Source: RNAcentral